This is a long non-coding RNA of Electrophorus electricus (electric eel), 927 nucleotides long. RefSeq lists it as uncharacterized. NCBI's taxonomy places the organism in Eukaryota, Metazoa, Chordata, Actinopteri, Gymnotiformes, Gymnotidae. The record is from RefSeq and is a predicted model, not a curated record.
UCUUUGUAAUAAAUAUGAUUAAACAAUGUAAUAAUAGUUAUUAGUAAAAGUAAUUCAGUAAAAGUGUUUCCGUAUAUAUAUUUCUUACGUAGAGGGCAUGAAUAAGGGGACCCCAGUGAGAUGUUUUGAUAUUAUCUGCUCGGGUUGGCGUGUGCAGGAGUGGAGCUGAGGAAGACGUGCACAAGAGCAUCCCCUUGAGCAACCCCCACACCAGUCUUACUCUCAGACAAACUUCUUGGAGCCGAACAGCGUUGUGUGUGUGCAUGCGCGUGCCGUCCAGCAGCUUCGCCAGUUUGUCAGUGUCUUCUUGAUUUUUGAUCUUCUAGUCCUCUGUGGUUGGCUUUCUUCUUUUCCUUUUUUAGAAAACAGUAGAAUUCUAUUGUAACGGACCAAACACAUUAGCGGCGUCUAUCAUCUAUCUUUCAGUGUAUGAAAAUGAAUCUGGUCCAAGAGGUAGCAGUGUUCUAACGCGGAGAGUCCGAUGGACAGUGAAACUGCGGAGGUUCGUAGUGAGUGCUGCCUCUCCCUCGUGCUCCAAAUGUGCUAGGGGCACACGGGUGUUACACUUCCUUCUUUCUCUUGAAAAACAACAUAUCAAUAGAAUGAUGUUUAAACUCACAAUGAUCGUUUAAGUACAGCAUUGAACAAUGAGGAUUAGUUUUAAAAAUGAUUUUUAAAAUAAUAUUUUUAAACUUCAUUAUUUGCAUGAAGAGCAGAAUAUGGAGUGAAAACAUUCAGUGUAACUUCAAUGUCUAUUUUUUAUCUUUUCUUUACAUUAUGAAGCACUAGGUACAUGUGAGAUUACAUUAUCUUAUUUUAAAGAUACAAAUAAAACGUAUAUCUAAAUCAGAAUGCACAUUCUUAGCUUCCAUUGUUAUUGUUUCUACGGUAUUAUACAUGGAUUUUAUGACAAUUAUACGUUCCUAC